Molecule: ribosomal RNA, 492 nt
Filed under: uncultured bacterium
Lineage: Bacteria
Description: bacterial SSU rRNA
Rfam family: Bacterial small subunit ribosomal RNA
Source: RNAcentral
AUUGAACGCUGGCGGCAGGCCUAACACAUGCAAGUCGAGCGAGAAAGGUCUUCGGACUGAGUACAGCGGCGGACGGGUGAGUAAUGCGCAGGAAUCUACCUGGUAGUGGGGGAUAACUCGGGGAAACUCGAACUAAUACCGCAUACGCCCUACGGGGAAAGCGGGGGACCGUUCGGGCCUCGCGCUAUCAGAUGAGCCUGCGUAGGAUUAGCUUGUUGGUGAGGUAAAGGCUCACCAAGGCGACGAUCCUUAGCUGGUCUGAGAGGAUGAUCAGCCACACUGGAACUGAGACACGGUCCAGACUCCUACGGGAGGCAGCAGUGGGGAAUAUUGCGCAAUGGGCGAAAGCCUGACGCAGCCAUGCCGCGUGUGUGAAGAAGGCCCUUGGGUUGUAAAGCAACUUUCAAUUGGGAAGAAAGGUUGCGUGUUAAUAGCACGUAGCUGUGACGUUACCUUUAGAAGAAGCACCGGCUAACUCCGUGCCAGCAGCCG